Long non-coding RNA from Zalophus californianus (California sea lion), 453 nucleotides. RefSeq lists it as uncharacterized. Lineage: Eukaryota; Metazoa; Chordata; Mammalia; Carnivora; Otariidae. The transcript has 3 exons. The record is from RefSeq and is a predicted model, not a curated record.
AGAUGCCGGAAGUGUUCCUGUAGCCAUCUUGAGCAGUUGGUGAGCUGAGUGGAGUAGAUCUCUAAGGGGCCGCCAGCGGAAUGAAUCUUUUUGGCAUCAUCUAAUAUGAGGUUCAUGUACUCAUCAAAACCAAUGAUACAGCCCUCUAUACGCAUGUUCACUUGCUUAUGAAGCCACACCUGAAUCCGAGAUCUAUUUUGCAAGCAUCUGGAGAUGAGGAUGAUGGGCUGCACCAUCACCCUCUGCACUUUUUGACCCUGGCCACGGCUGAAAGAGAAGCUACUGAGGUUCUUUUGUGGUUAAAUGAACCUCAGAUGUUUACCAGAAUGAUGUGCCCAGAAUUGGUUCAGGUCCUCAAAUAUGUGAUUUCAGAGAGUGAUUUAAUGGCCAAAAUGAUGGAGAAAACCACUACUAGCGGCUAAGCAUUUAUCUCCGCUACUGCCCCGUUGCACC